RNAcentral lists this unclassified non-coding RNA (344 nucleotides) under soil metagenome. RNAcentral's name for it is "partial contains 5.8S ribosomal RNA, internal transcribed spacer 2, and large subunit ribosomal RNA". The stretch from base 1 to 120 matches the Rfam family "5.8S ribosomal RNA", at positions 35 to 154 of the family's 154-position model. The record is from RNAcentral.
GAUGAAGAACGUAGCGAAAUGCGAUAAGUAAUGUGAAUUGCAGAAUUCAGUGAAUCAUCGAAUCUUUGAACGCACAUUGCGCCCGCCAGUAUUCUGGCGGGCAUGCCUGUCCGAGCGUCAUUUCAACCCUCAAGCCCCCGGGCUUGGUGUUGGAGAUCGGCGAGCCCCCCGGGGCGCGCCGUCUCCCAAAUAUAGUGGCGGUCCCGCUGUAGCUUCCUCUGCGUAGUAGCACACCUCGCACUGGGAAACAGCGUGGCCACGCCGUAAAACCCCCCACUUCUGAAAGGUUGACCUCGGAUCAGGUAGGAAUACCCGCUGAACUUAAGCAUAUCAUAAGCGGAGGA